AAAUUGGAGUUGUGGGUGGAGCCCGGCUCUUGUAGGAGUCAGGGCGAAGUCUUCCUGCAAUCAAAGUCAUAGGCAGAGUCCAGCUCCCGUAGAAGUCCGGACAAGGCUUAUCGGCAGUUGCUGUUGUCAGCAGAGCCCGGCUCCCGUAGGAGUCCGGGCGGGGUUGUCCUGUAGUUGAUGUCGGCGAUUGGAGCUCGGCUCCCGUAGGAGUCCGGAUUGGGCUUACCAUCGGUCGGAGUAGCUUAAGUUAGGGCAAGGUUUUCCUCUUGGGGGGCGCAUAUGGGC
RNAcentral lists this long non-coding RNA (285 nucleotides) under Elaeis guineensis (African oil palm). RNAcentral describes it as "long non-coding RNA (EGUI_LNC071122)". Lineage: Eukaryota; Viridiplantae; Streptophyta; Magnoliopsida; Arecales; Arecaceae. The record is from RNAcentral.